RNAcentral lists this ribosomal RNA (253 nucleotides) under uncultured bacterium. RNAcentral's name for it is "partial 16S ribosomal RNA". It matches the Rfam family "Bacterial small subunit ribosomal RNA", at positions 524 to 776 of the family's 1533-position model. The record is from RNAcentral.
UACGUAGGGGGCGAGCGUUGUCCGGAAUUAUUGGGCGUAAAGAGCGUGUAGGCGGCUAGGCAGGUCUGCUGUGAAAACUCGCGGCUCAACCUCGAGACGUCGGCGGAAACCAUCUGGCUAGAGUCCGGAAGAGGAGAGUGGAAUUCCUGGUGUAGCGGUGAAAUGCGCAGAUAUCAGGAAGAACACCCGUGGCGAAGGCGGCGCUCUGGGACGGUACUGACGCUGAGACGCGAAGGCCAGGGGAGCAAACGGA